This 387-nucleotide ribosomal RNA is filed under the name Lizzia sp. Its description in RNAcentral is "partial small subunit ribosomal RNA". It matches the Rfam family "Eukaryotic small subunit ribosomal RNA", at positions 582 to 975 of the family's 1831-position model. Lineage: Eukaryota; Metazoa; Cnidaria; Hydrozoa; Anthoathecata; Bougainvilliidae. The record is from RNAcentral.
AUUCCAGCUCCAAUAGCGUAUAUUAAAGUUGUUGCAGUUAAAAAGCUCGUAGUUGGAUUUCGGAAUGGGUCAGUUGGUCCGCCGCAAGGUGAGUUACUGACUGAUUUGUUCUUCUUCGCAAAGACUGCGUGUGCUCUUUACUGAGUGUACGUAGGAUUUACGACGUUUACUUUGAAAAAAUUAGAGUGUUCAAAGCAGGCUAUCGCUUGAAUACAUGAGCAUGGAAUAAUGGAAUAGGACUUUGGUUCUAUUUUGUUGGUUUCUAGGACCGAAGUAAUGAUUAAGAGGGACAAUUGGGGGCAUCCGUAUUUCGUUGUCAGAGGUGAAAUUCUUGGACCGUCUGAAGACUGACUACUGCGAAAGUAUUUGCCAAGAGUGUUUUCAUUG